AUACUUACCUGGCAGGGGAGAUACCAUGAUCACGAAGGUGGUUUUCCCAGGGCGAGGCUUAUCCAUUGCACUCCGGAUGUGCUGACCCCUGCGAUUUCCCCAAAUGUGGGAAACUCGACUGCAUAAUUGUGGUAGUGGGGGACUGCGUUCGCGCUUUCCCCUG
This 163-nucleotide small nuclear RNA is filed under the name Canis lupus dingo (dingo). RNAcentral's name for it is "U1 spliceosomal RNA (ENSCAFG00020023565.1)". It matches the Rfam family "U1 spliceosomal RNA". Rfam says of the family: U1 is a small nuclear RNA (snRNA) component of the spliceosome (involved in pre-mRNA splicing). Its 5' end forms complementary base pairs with the 5' splice junction, thus defining the 5' donor site of an intron. The record is from RNAcentral. Lineage: Eukaryota; Metazoa; Chordata; Mammalia; Carnivora; Canidae.